UCCGUGGAGGUCUAGUGGUCACGUCUCAGGGCUCACACCACAGUGGCCCGGGUUCGAUUCCCAGCUAGAGAA
This is a non-coding RNA of Pangasianodon gigas (Mekong giant catfish), 72 nucleotides long. The record is from the annotation of a GenBank genome assembly. NCBI's taxonomy places the organism in Eukaryota, Metazoa, Chordata, Actinopteri, Siluriformes, Pangasiidae.